AAUUUUGGACAAUGGGGGAAACCCUGAUCCAGCCACCCCGCGCGUAUGAUGAAGCCCUUCGGGCUGUAAAGUACUUUUGGCAGUGAAGAAAAGGUAUCUACUAAUACGAGAUACUGCUGACGGUAUCUGCAGAAUAAGCACCUGCUCACCACUUGCCAGCAUCCGCGGUAAUACGUAGGGUGCAAGCGUUAAUCGGAAUUACUGGGCGUAAAGCGUGUGUAGGCGGUUCGGAAAGAAAGAUGUGAAAUCCCAGGGCUCAACCUUGGAACUGCAUUUUUAACUGCCGAGCUAGAGUAUGUCAGAGGGGGGUAGAAUUCCACGUGUAGCAAUGAAAUGCGUAGAUAUGUGGAGGAAUACCGAUGGCGAAGGCAGCCCCCUGGGAUAAUACUGACGCUCAGACACGAAAGCGUGGGGAGCAAACAGG
RNAcentral lists this ribosomal RNA (424 nucleotides) under uncultured bacterium. RNAcentral's name for it is "partial 16S ribosomal RNA". It matches the Rfam family "Bacterial small subunit ribosomal RNA", at positions 360 to 776 of the family's 1533-position model. The record is from RNAcentral.